This 253-nucleotide ribosomal RNA is filed under the name uncultured bacterium. Its description in RNAcentral is "partial 16S ribosomal RNA". It matches the Rfam family "Bacterial small subunit ribosomal RNA", at positions 524 to 776 of the family's 1533-position model. The record is from RNAcentral.
UACGGAGGGUGCAAGCGUUAUCCGGAUUCACUGGGUUUAAAGGGUGCGUAGGCGGGUUGGUAAGUCAGUGGUGAAAUCUUCAAGCUUAACUUGGAAACUGCCGUUGAUACUAUCAAUCUUGAAUAUUGUGGAGGUAAGCGGAAUAUGUCAUGUAGCGGUGAAAUGCUUAGAUAUGACGUAGAACACCGAUAGCGAAGGCAGCUUGCUACACAAUAAUUGACGCUGAGGCGCGACAGCGUGGGGAGCAAACAGG